RNAcentral lists this ribosomal RNA (484 nucleotides) under uncultured bacterium. Its description in RNAcentral is "partial 16S ribosomal RNA". It matches the Rfam family "Bacterial small subunit ribosomal RNA", at positions 30 to 507 of the family's 1533-position model. The record is from RNAcentral.
AUUGAACGCUGGCGGCAGGCCUAACACAUGCAAGUCGAGCGGAUGAAGGGAGCUUGCUUCUGGAUUCAGCGGCGGACGGGUGAGUAAUGCCUAGGAAUCUGCAUGGUAGUGGGGGAUAACGUCUGGAAACGGGCGCUAAUACCGCAUACGUCCUGAGGGAGUAAGUGGGGGAUCUUCGGACCUCACGCUAUCAGAUGAGCCUAGGUCGGAUUAGCUAGUUGGUGGGGUAAAGGCCUACCAAGGCGACGAUCCGUAACUGGUCUGAGAGGAUGAUCAGUCACACCGGAACUGAGACACGGUCCAGACUCCUACGGGAGGCAGCAGUGGGGAAUAUUGGACAAUGGGCGAAAGCCUGAUCCAGCCAUGCCGCGUGUGUGAAGAAGGUCUUCGGGUUGUAAAGCACUUUAAGUUGGGAGGAAGGGCAGUAAGUUAAUACCUUGCUGUUUUGACGUUACCAACAGAAUAAGCACCGGCUAACUUCGUG